AGGUUGAUCUUGUGGAUCAUUAUGGAAAGAGGUUGGAAGACAUAGAACAGAAUGUGAGAUUGGAGCAAUCUGAUUUGUCAUUGGCAGAUGUAUGUGCUGCUGUUUUCACUUCACUCCUUUCAAUAAUCUUUCCUUUUUCCUUUUAUGUUAUGUAAUCUUUAUUUUUACAUCUUGUUUGACAAUUCAAAGAGACAUUCAUGAAGGUGUUGGAUCCUUUAUAGCUUUUAUAUGCAUUACAUUCAUCAAAUUUAUUAACAUCUAACAUUCAGCAGGUUCAGCAAUGCAUUGAUAUCCAUCUUAGGUAAUUGUACUAUUGAUGCUUCAACAUGUUCGCACUCUCUAUGAUAGAAGGAAACUCAUACAUGUGUGUCAGUGGCCUACCUUUUUUCUACUAGACUCAAAAUCAUACAUGAGUGUGUCAAGUGCAUGCUUGUGACCUUUUGGGAGUUAUUAUUUGGGAUUUAUUAGCAUUACAGUUUUAUAAUUCAGUUUACAUUAUAUCUAUUCUUAUGGUAGUUACCAUUGUGCAGUCAAUGAAAAGGUUUUUGCCUAGCCUAUUUAUCUUGCGAAAUAGGAUGACAAUAUAAUAGACAUGGUGAUGUCCAUAAUAUAUAUUUUUCUUUUUUGCUUUGCUUGGGUUGUUUGAUUAUUUGUCAUUUUGAUUAAGUUCUUUAGGUUUCCCACCUUUUGAAAUGUUAUAUGGUGCAUUGGAUUAGACUAAAUUGCUUCUCUGUGCACAAGGAAACUCGAGCUGCCUUUGUGUCCUUCAAAUCU
This 774-nucleotide unclassified non-coding RNA is filed under the name Hevea brasiliensis (rubber tree). Lineage: Eukaryota; Viridiplantae; Streptophyta; Magnoliopsida; Malpighiales; Euphorbiaceae. The record is from RNAcentral.